Molecule: transfer RNA, 66 nt
Filed under: Marmota monax (woodchuck)
Lineage: Eukaryota; Metazoa; Chordata; Mammalia; Rodentia; Sciuridae
Description: tRNA.Gly
Rfam family: tRNA (bases 5-63)
About the family: Transfer RNA (tRNA) molecules are approximately 80 nucleotides in length. Their secondary structure includes four short double-helical elements and three loops (D, anti-codon, and T loops).
Source: RNAcentral
GAAAGUAGUUCAGUGGUCGAGCAUGUGCCUACCAUGCACAAGGCCCUGAGUUCAAUUCCCAGCACA